This is a non-coding RNA of Anas platyrhynchos (mallard), 5769 nucleotides long. Lineage: Eukaryota; Metazoa; Chordata; Aves; Anseriformes; Anatidae. The record is from RefSeq and is a predicted model, not a curated record.
GGCUGAGCUAGGCACAAAGUUUAUUUAUGGACAUCUGAGGUGGCCGAAGCUGUAAUCCACUCCAAGUACCUAAUCUAGAUCUCCCAUGCUGCAAUUUAAAUCAAUUUAUAUCUCUUUCACAGUCAGCCUGGAGGACACAUUACUCUUUUUAGUCCAAUAUUUGCCUUAUAUUUGUUAUUUUCUCCUGUAGACUAAUCAACUGUAUUUUCUCACAAACCAUGUCAUUAGACCUUUAAUAACUUGAUGAUCUCUUUGAAAUUCUCUCCAGGCAGUCCAUAUCUUGCUUCAAGGAAUUUGCUCAGUUUAUAUAUGUUUGAAGUACAGUUUCAACUAGAACAAAAGUGUUUGUUGUUUUUUUUUAAUGUUAUUGUAUUCCUGUUUAAAUUUCAAGUAGAAUGUUGAUCUAUUUUCUGCAAUAACAUACUUGAUAACUGCAGUAAGCCAGGAGUUAUUGUCUGCUAUAAUUCUGCUCCUCUGAACUACUGUGUAACUAGUUGUUAUCAUUAUGUAUUUGUGCAGCUUAUUAUUCCUACACUUCCUAGGUUUUCACUCCAUUUUUUCAUACAUUUUUCCUUAUUUUUUCAAACCUAUAUAUAUUUCUUUUUCUUUCAGGCAAGCAAAAGCCAUGUAUUCCUGUAAGGCUGAGCAUAGUCAUGAGCUGUCUUUCCCACAGGGGGCAAUAUUUUCCAAUGUGUAUCCAUCAGUAGAACCAGGCUGGUUAAAAGCAACUUACGAAGGCAAAACAGGACUCGUUCCUGAGAAUUAUGUUGUCUUCCUCUAGUAAUCUUCAGUGGACAGCAAUAUCUUCAUGGUAUCCAUGGUAACAAAUAAUAAGCACUAUGAUUUUUAUCUGACACAGAUAUGGGAUCAGCCCGUUAGCUGAGCGUGGUAGAUUUCCUUCAGAUACUGCAGCUGCAGGUUAUAUAGCUCCCUAUCAACGGAACAGAAUGUAAUGAAACAGUUAACAGUUACUGUACUGAAGACGGUACUCUGUUUAAAUAACUUCCAUUGUUUGCAAAAGGUUGUUCUGUUCUUCUUUUAUGGGUAAGGAACACUACAGAAAUAAAAUCAAAAAAGUUGCCAUUUAGCUGCAGACCUUCAGGUUCUCGGAUGUUGCUCAGAGAAGUGUGAAAUUUAGAGGCAAUGCACUCUGUGACAUUUCUUACAAUCUGUUUCUUUUAAUAUGAAAAAUUGUGGUUUUUUUCCUAAUGUAAGUAAUGUUUCUAUUGUGAUCUGAAUGCUCCCAUAGAAAAAUCAAUUCUGAGAUUAGUCCUAAUCAUUUCAAAUAAGAAAUGAGUCUUCCAUAAAUCAGAAGUUUGAACUUGUUAGUCACUGAGAUUACAAUAUGUUAUAGAAUUUAUGUAACUGAUAAUGAAAUCAGAUUAUACACUGCCUGAGCAGUAAGUGCUCAUUCAAAAUGUGAUGUGUUUAAUGAAUGUUUCAUUCAAGUACUUCUUAGAUUUAUUUCCUCCUUUCUAUAUCAAUAUAAAUAAGAAUAAUAAUAACUAGUAUUUCUGUAAUAGCAGUCAGGUGGAAGAUACUCUCGGUGUAUCUCAGAGCAACAGCAGUAGAAAACAAGGAAAUACUCAAUCUGGAAUGAUGGGUAGAUAUGAAGUGAGCAAUGAAAAGCAGCAAUAUGUUUUGAAACCUUAGAUAAAAAGUAACUAAGUCCUUUUCAAGUUUUUUUUUCCAUUUCAAAUAAGACAAAAGUACUUAGCAUUAUUUCUUCUGACUUCCACUAAAUUAUUUGGCAAAUGUUCCUCCGUUACAUGGGAUUAAAAAAAAAAUGAAAAAAAAUAAAAUAAAAUAACCUUGGUUGAUAAAGAUUUUGUAAAUACCCAUUGUCUGCUCUUGGUGGGCCUGGAAAAAAAAAGAAAAAAAAAGAAAAGAAGAUAUAAGCAGCUUCCUAAAUUUGAACCUCUUUCUUUUACACCUUGAGGGAAAACAUGCAGUGCUUACUUGGCUAGUUACCGUGGCCUGUUGAAAAACAAGAUACAUAAGCGCCAUAUUAGUAGCUUUUCAGCAUUAGUGGCACAGAAGGAAUCCACUGUUUCAUAGACCUAUUCAGUCUUAGUUCUUUGUUCAAUAACAGUAAUCAGUAUAUAAACUUCUGCUGAUUUAUAAGAUGUACACUGCUUCCAGAAUGUUUUAGGAAGAACUUUUGCUAGGACUAAAAACACCAGUAAUCUACCAGUUGCUUAUUUCUAAGCCUUUUGGGGGUUUAAAUUAAAAAACAGAUUUAUUGCCAAUAUUAAGAAGCACAUCAGAACCUUCUUUACUUGUGUAUAGCGCAUGAUUUCUGAAAAAAAAAUCCGUGUUGGAAUUCAGGCUGGUGGCAAAAGCCUGCAGGAUCCUUCUCGCUAGUUGAAGUAUCAAGUGGCACUCAGGAAAGUGGAGAGACUGGAAGAACAUCCUUUCAAGAAUGGUGUGGCGUUUCAGAGGGGAGGUCUGUGGCAGUAAGCCAGGCCAGUGUGGGUAAGGCAGUUGAGGAGAGACCCCUUGAAUUAGUGACUGACUGAUCUGGGUUCUUUCUUCACCCUAAACAGUUUUAUUAGGUCCCAAAUCAUGUUUUCCCUCACCUUAAGACCAGGCUGUAUUCAGUACAUUGUGAUGAAGGGUUCAUCGCAGGCAGUGGAGGCACACACGUGUGCUUGUCAAAUUUUCCCAGAGCGUGAAGGGAAGUGAAGAGAAGGACUUUUUCACCAGACUGAGCCUUAUUUUUAAUGCAAGCCAACAUUUGUUUGUGUAAGCUAUGCCUGCAGCUGCUGUUGCCCUCAGAUCAACAUGGGUUUUGUUGUAUUUUUACUGUUAUUUCACAAUCCAAAAAUUGCAGGGUGCCAAAAGGCUUCCCUCUGUUGAACUGCUCAGGAGAAUGCUGCUGCAGGGGAAGAGGAGUAGAAAGGGAGACAGAGCUGUGAGCAGAGGUUCCAGGCCCUGCACGUGCCUCACCCACAUGGAGAAAUGCAGUGGUCUGGGUCUAUCAAUUGCACCAGGCAAACUGACCUUUGUUUAACAUCCUUUUCUGACCCCUCGUGCCUCUUACGAGGAAUUUGAUUGUUGUGAAAUUCUUGAGGAACGGUGAAACAGAAAAUGCGUGCUCUUACUUGCUUUGCUUUAGUCUGAGUAAAUCAAAAACAAAAUGAAAAGAGAGAGCAGGAGAAGACUAAUUGUAGGUAACCUCACAACGUUUGCAUGUGUUUGGAUAUUCUGCAACAGGAUGUUUUGAAACCAGCUGAUCUGAGUGCAAGCUAGAAGACUCAAAGAUGCUCAGUUCGUAUAAAAAAUCAUAAAAAUGAAAGGUUCAGUUACAGAUUAAGUAGAGCCUGUAAGCAUUGAGGGAAAGGUUGUAGAAGGAGGAAUCCCUGUAGAGAGGUGGUGUGUCUUUUGCCGUGCAUUCAUCUUACAUUAGACACACAAGUCAGUUGCAGAAGGCGGUUUCAUGAGAAAGGGAUCUCAUUCAUUCUGCUACUCACAAAACAAAUCUAUCUUUUCCUCUUUAAGACUGUGCACUUUUCAAGGCUCUUAUUCUGUUGAACCAGCCAUGGUAAUCACAUAAAUAAUUUUAAAGUAGCUUAGCUUUAAAAUGUUAUUUUCAUCUGGAAAUGUUCCUCCCAUGCUUGAUUACACUUAGUAUCAAUGGAAAGUAGGGUUAUUCUGGUCCUCUCUACUGCGGUACAUAACAAGCACUUUCUGUAUCAUUCCACUGCUGGGUUGUAGAUGCCUCUGCUCUUCCCUGACUUUCCAAGAGGGAGUUUAUCUCCAGGAGAAGCUGUACAGUGAACUGGAAAGUUACGUACCUGGGUGCUCACUGACUGGAAUGGGGGAAGAGUGCAGCACCAAGGCUUGUCUACUGACAAGACUCUCAGCCCUGGCCAAAAAUCCCUUCUAAUAUUUGUAAAGGAUCAGAAAUCCAUGUAAAAUUUAAAUGACGAUAUAAUACUGAGAUAGUGCCUUACCAGCAAGUUAGGCAAGCUGAACUAAAUUAGUUCAUAGGAUUGAUUUACUAUUUUUUGUGAAAGUCAGAGUCACUCUACAAGCAAAGUUUAAUUUUAUUAUAGUUUUUUUUUUAAUUAUCCUUCCUAAAAGGAUAUAGCAGUUUUCUCAGAAUAUCACUGUAGAAUUUGAGGUAGAUAACAUGUUGUGAUUGCUGUUUGUCUUGUGAAAAUACCCACCACUUAAGUAAUUAGCCAUGUUUUUUCUAUGUUAAACUUGUGGUACAUGUUGCAGUACAACAUGAAUCAAAUUAAUAGUGUGAAGGACUGAUAUAUUGUAUGAUAAAUAUGUAAAGUAUAUUAUAUUAUAUAUUCACACUUUUUAUUAAUGAUAAAGAUGAAAAAAUAUUUUUUGUGUAAUUCCUAUGAGUUCAGUAUUAAAAUGUCCUUGCCAUAUUUUGGCAUUUAGAAUACUAUGUAACAAAACUCUUAAAUUAAACCAUAGAUAUCACUUAAGUCCCUAACUAAUCUAUAAAGUUCAUUUGUUCGAUUAUUUCUGGAAAAAAAUGACGCACAGAUUUGCUGACCAGUCUACUCUAUGAUAGUAAUAGUAACUUAUUUAACUUUUAUAUAUUUUCUGUUGAUAAUCUCUAUUAUUUGCCUGUAAUUGAAUUCAUUUUAAUAUGCCUUUAGGAAAGAUAUGUUAGGAAGAGAAAAGGAUGCAAAAUUCAGCAGUUCAGAACAAUAGUUACAACAACAAAAAAGCAUUAUAUGGUAGUAAUUGGCUUUUUGUUACAUUUCCCCACUGGUCUAUUUUCUAGUUAAUAAGGUUGGAUCAGAAUAAAUGAUGAACCCCCAAAACCUGUUGUUCCUAAUACUUCCUUUCCUAAGGCAGCAGUUGGUACAAUUUUGCAUUGAGUAGCAAGAAGAGAAAGCCCAGUAAGGAAGCUUACCCUCAGGCUGGGGUGGAUCUUCUAGACUGAUGGAAACUCUCAGAGCUCUAGUGAGCACAAAGAUAGACCCUUGGCAAAUUAUAGUGAGGUUUCGCUGGCCAGAAGCCCCCAUACAGUAAAUGUAAUAUAAAUAGAAUAUUCUGUUAAUGGGAAAACAUGUGAUAUGUCUUGGCAUUAUCCUUUUGUUGUUUUUGUUGUUCAUCAGAGCGCCUUAUCUGAAUCAUUCAGUUACCAGAGAUCAAACUAAGCAAGGUUCAGUUCCACUCUUUGUGGUCAUGCAGCCCUGACAGCCACUGCUGAUGCAGCCCUUCCAGUUACUGUUGGUGCAAAAGGCAGACUGUUGAUCAGGCUCUAUCAGUACAAGUCGGGAGGUCUCUUUUUGCAUAGGAUUUUGCAAGGGCUUUGGGAGUUUGCUUUGUUUUGUUUUAAUAAGGUGCUUGGUAUCCAAACAGCUACUAAUACAAUGUUGUAAUUCAGUCACUGAAGAUAAUAGCAUUGUUUUUCUUGUCCUGUAUGUGGCAGUAUUUAAUAAGCCAUAGGAUAAUCUGUGUUAAGUAUAGAGAAUGGUGCUUCAACCCUUGGACGUCUCAGCUGAAAGCUAUUCUGCAACUGAUCUUUUCGCAAGUGUUGUAUCAAUAAUUGUCAUAAAGUUCUGGCACUAGAGGCUGCAUAAUGAUCUCAGCACUACAAGAGUUUCUGUUAGAGCAAAGGGCAAAGCAGCUGAACAGGACAGAUAGCUUCAAUUUUUCAAGCAUAUUUAUGACGAUUUUAGAGGUAUUAGAGUUUAUAGGGGUUACCUUAGAAACUAUAUGGUAUUUUAAUAGGAAAGUAUAUACAAUCAAUAACUAUAUAUAUAUUUAAUAAAGUCCUACUAAAUUAUCUUA